Molecule: long non-coding RNA, 2016 nt
Organism: Pipistrellus kuhlii (Kuhl's pipistrelle)
Lineage: Eukaryota; Metazoa; Chordata; Mammalia; Chiroptera; Vespertilionidae
Exons: 3
Source: RefSeq, a predicted model, not a curated record
AAAACUCAAGGGGCCAAAGAGCCGCGUGUGACUCACGAAGUCCAGUUUGCCGACCACUGAUCUGUACUAAUAAGAGGGUAAUAUGCUAACUAAACCAGACAUCAUCUGGAUGACUUUCUGGCCAAAGCCAUGGUGGCAGGGCUAAAGCAGAGGUGGUUAGGAGUGAUCAGGCUGGCAGGGAGAGCUGUUGGGAUUGCAAGAGGGAUGUCUGACUACCUGGGAAGGGGCCUAAACCAGCAGUUGGACAUCCCCCCUAGGAGUCCUGAAUUGAGGCAAUGUAAGAUUACAUAGUAAUUUUUUAUAGGCUCUUAACUGUUCACAUUUAAUCUCACUUUCCUAUGAACUGCUCUUGGUCCUGAGGAAUUCAGCCACCUGUCCUCUCAAAGUCCUAGCCUCUGAUCCUUAUGAUGAUACUGUAUUCAUAUGAUGUUCUUAUAAAAUAACAGAGAUGAAAAAGUAUUUGCAAAGAUUGCCAGGACAAUAAGCAAGUUAAACUUUUGUGAGCCUUAGUUUUCUCAUCAGCUCCUUUUAGAUAUAAAAUGCUAUUGUAAAAAGUAACUGAUAGCCUGGCUGGUAUGACAUGGAGCGAUGUCCUAUACACCAAAAGGUCACGGGGUUCGAUUCCCAGUCAGGGUGGGUACUCAGGAGUUGAUUGAUGGCUUUUGAUUUAAUGGUCCUGUUUUGCCAUCAAAAUACUGAAUGCAUUUUGGUACAUUUGACAAAGUGCAAAUCAGCCCAUUUCCCAAAAUUCUGAUUCUUUGACUUUUUAUCUUGAUGAUGGGAAGGAGAGAGACAUUUACACAUAUCUGCUUUAAUUUCUUCCCCUAAAACUAGCUACUUGGUGGGAGGGGCAGAGGCAGGGAAUGCCUGUAGAGAGAAUCAAGAUUUUAACAAAAUUUGUCUUAGCUUAACUAGGGUUUUUCAGCCUAUAGCAAUAAUUCUAGUUUUAGAAGUAGCCACAUAUCAUUGUUCUUUCCUAUCUCCUUUUAAAAAUACUUCCUCUUUCUGUCUGACUCAAAGAUCUGGUUGUAUUUUAAAAUUUAACUUCACUAAACCUAAUUCACUGUAUAAAAUGAAUUGUUUACACUGGCCCCUAUUUCCCAUCAUUCCUAGGUAUGACCAAGAUUGCCACAGGCUACUAACCUAACCUCUCCAAGUACCAAAAAGGGGAUUAGCUCAUAAUAUAUACCGAAAAUUUUACAGGGUUGGUGUGGCUAGAGGGCAUAAGAAUAUGAAGAAUAUGAAUAACUUAUUCCUUUCUGGCUAUAAGAAUUCAUAAAAUUAGUCUUCAUUUAUUUUAGAACAACGAUAAGCAAACUUUUUCUAUAAAGAGCCAGAAAAAAAUAUUUUUGGCUUUGUGGGAUAGUGACCUCCCUCACAACUGCUUAAUUGGCCUUGCUACACAGAAGCAGCCAAAAACAAUAGUUAAUGGGUGUGGCUGUGCUCUAAUAAAAUUGUACUUAAAUGAAGGGGUGGGGGCUGCAUUUGGCCCACCAGUUGUCACCUGACAGCCCUAUUUAGAAAAGUGUAAAAUAUUAAGGAGCAAGUAAACAGGCUUUAUAAAGAGACUAGAUUUGUCUGGUUUAAUGCAAGGAUAAUAGCAUUUUCAGUAGUCUAGGCCAAAUAGGUCUGCUUUUAAAUGUGUCCCACAUUAGAUCUUGACAGGUAGUGUCUCAGUGCUUUGGAAUUAUUUCACAUUUGUGUCACUACUUCCUCAUUUGUAAAAUAGAUGUGCCUUACAGCACUGUUGUGGGAAUAUUUUUUUGAAAAAGUUUUAAUUCUAUAAAUUCUUAAAAACAUUAAUUGCAAGAAAAGCAUUAGGAUUAGACAAAGAAUAGAACUACUGGGUUAAUUAGAAAAAUGGGCUUGAAAGGGAGACAUCAUACCUUUGAAAAGAGGACAAUUAUAAUAAACUAGGGGCACGAAUUUCGUGCACUGGGGGGAGAGGUCCCUCAGGCCAGCCUGCCCCCUCUCACAUACUGAGAGCCCUCAGGGGAUGUCCUACUGAUGGCUUAG